UACGAAGGGGGCUAGCGUUGCUCGGAAUCACUGGGCGUAAAGCGCACGUAGGCGGCUUUUUAAGCCAGGGGUGAAAUCCUGGAGCUCAACUCCAGAACUGCCUUUGAUACUGGGAAGCUUGAGUCCGGAAGAGGUGAGUGGAACUCCGAGUGUAGAGGUGAAAUUCGUAGAUAUUCGGAAGAACACCAGUGGCGAAGGCGGCUCACUGGUCCGGUACUGACGCUGAGGUGCGAAAGCGUGGGGAGCAAACAGG
RNAcentral lists this ribosomal RNA (253 nucleotides) under uncultured bacterium. Its description in RNAcentral is "partial 16S ribosomal RNA". It matches the Rfam family "Bacterial small subunit ribosomal RNA", at positions 524 to 776 of the family's 1533-position model. The record is from RNAcentral.